GAUGAACGCUGGCGGCGUGCCUAAUACAUGCAAGUCGAACGCUUCACUGCGGUGCAUGGUCUCCAACGGGGGAGUACGACAUAAGGAAUCUCGCGUCGACAGGCUGCUAACUGGUGGAGACGUCCUCUAAGACACCAUAGCUGUUAACGUCUCAUAAACGCUGUCUGAAAAGUUCUACGGGACUGGGAGAUUUUCUACUUAUGAGGCAUUAGUUUGUUGGUAUGGUAACGGCCUACCAAGGCUAGCAUGCGUAGCCGACCUGAGAGGGUGACCGGCCACACUGGGACUGAGACACGGCCCAGACUCCUACGGGAGGCAGCAGUAGGGAAUUUUCGGCAAUGGGGGAAACCCUGACCGAGCAACGCCGCGUGAAGGAAGAAGUAAUUCGUUAUGUAAACUUCUGUCAUAGAGGAAGAACGGUGGAUAUAGGGAAUGAUAUCCCAGUGACGGUACUCUAUAAGAAAGCCACGGCUAACUACGUG
RNAcentral lists this ribosomal RNA (482 nucleotides) under uncultured bacterium. RNAcentral describes it as "partial 16S ribosomal RNA". It matches the Rfam family "Bacterial small subunit ribosomal RNA", at positions 28 to 507 of the family's 1533-position model. The record is from RNAcentral.